Molecule: long non-coding RNA, 713 nt
Organism: Glycine soja
Lineage: Eukaryota; Viridiplantae; Streptophyta; Magnoliopsida; Fabales; Fabaceae
Exons: 2
Source: RefSeq, a predicted model, not a curated record
UCCUCUAUUUAAAGAGCCUCCUUGGUGCCACUUUCCCACAACACACUGAAAGCAAAGGCCAGAAGUACUAGUGAGCACAAGAAAUUAAGCAAUUAAAUUAACAACGAGAGUUAUACAUAGCUAGCUAGAACAUCUAUAUAGCCAUCAUGUCAGGGCAGAGAAGGUCAUCAAGAGCUUCAAAGUUCACUGAGAAUGAGAUUAAUGAACUUGUGUCUAGGUUACAAGUUCUGCUUCCGCAAGUCAACCAAAGAGGAAACUCGAGGCAAUCAGCGUCCAAGAUUUUGCAGGAAACUUGUUGUCAUAUUAGGAGGCUGCAGGAAGAGGUGGAACAGCUCAGUGAGAGGCUAUCAGAGAUCCUGGAUUCUGCGGAUAUCAGUGACAUUGACCGAAGAACUUUACAAAACUUUCUGCAACAAUAUUAACAAAUAUGGUCCCUCUUCUACAGUGAUCCAUACCUUGUCUCCCUUAUAUAUGUUUGUUACCCAGUGUAGGUUGUAACGGAGCCUUAAUUUCCAAGCAUACAUUAAUAACACACCAUAUGUUGGAAUAACAGUUUCUUGUGAUCAAAUUAAUUGCUUUGGCUUUGUCCAUGCAUGGAAUCGAGAGCACUUGAAACGUUUGAUGGGAAAUUAUUAAUAUAUAUCUUUUCGAUCUUUUGAUUUAUUUGUAUGUGAUAUAUAUUUGAAUGCCGAGAAUCAGUUUUAAGUGUUGAA